Molecule: long non-coding RNA, 201 nt
Filed under: Lathyrus oleraceus (garden pea)
Lineage: Eukaryota; Viridiplantae; Streptophyta; Magnoliopsida; Fabales; Fabaceae
Description: Pisum sativum (pea) long non-coding RNA (PSAT_LNC024793)
Source: RNAcentral
AACCUUCUUUGAUCCAAAUCAAAUUCAACUUGAUCAAAGAUCAAGUGAAUUGCUUUCUGUCCAAGAUAGGUUGCUUCUUGGUCAAGCAAAAAACCUGAAAUCCAUACAAGGUAUUUCUUCUUUUCUUUUGGCAUGGCAAGUUGUAGGAUCUUGGCUUACUAGUCAUGAUCUCUAACUUGUGUUUAUUUGCCUAUAGUUUUA